This 560-nucleotide long non-coding RNA is filed under the name Salvia miltiorrhiza (redroot sage). Its description in RNAcentral is "long non-coding RNA (SMIL_LNC011187)". Lineage: Eukaryota; Viridiplantae; Streptophyta; Magnoliopsida; Lamiales; Lamiaceae. The record is from RNAcentral.
GUAAAUAUUUUCAUUAGGGUUUAGCAUUCAAGGAUUAGGGUUUAGUAUUCAGGGUUUAGGGUUUAGUAUUCAGUAUUCAAGUAAUUACAAAAUAUAGAAUAACAGGAAAUACUUAUAGAAACAUAAGUAUACAUUUGUACAAAGAAAUGUAUAUGUUAUAAAAAUAAAAUGCAAUAAAUAAAACGCUUUACCAAAUUAAUUAUUAUUAUAAUAAAAAAUAACCAUUGAUAUGAUAAAAAUUGGGGAAAAAAUACAGUAUAAAUGUAAUACCAGGAAAAAAAACGCAAUAAGAAAUACAAAAAACACUAAAGCAAAAAGAAAAACAGAAAAAAUGAAAAGGAAAAAAAAAACAAAAGGGAAAGAAAAGUGAAAAAAACGCAAGAAAUGGCAGUUGGGGGGUUUCGAACCCAAUACCAAAGGGGUGAAAGUGGAAUUGCUUACCCACUACACCAGCAUUUAAUUUCAACAUUCCUAUAUCAAUUUAUUAUAUUUAUCCUCUUCUACGCCCAACCCAUGCCCAGACCCAACCUGACCCGCGCCCUGACCCGCGCCCAAAUCCG